RNAcentral lists this ribosomal RNA (441 nucleotides) under uncultured bacterium. RNAcentral describes it as "partial 16S ribosomal RNA". It matches the Rfam family "Bacterial small subunit ribosomal RNA", at positions 338 to 795 of the family's 1533-position model. The record is from RNAcentral.
CCUACGGGAGGCAGCAGUGGGGAAUAUUGCACAAUGGGGGGAACCCUGAUGCAGCGACGCCGCGUGGGUGAAGGAGUAUUUCGGUAUGUAAAGCCCUAUCAGCAGGGAAGAACAAUGACGGUACCUGACUAAGAAGCACCGGCUAAAUACGUGCCAGCAGCCGCGGUAAUACGUAUGGUGCAAGCGUUAUCCGGAUUGACUGGGUGUAAAGGGAGCGCAGGCGGCGCGUUAAGCCUGGUGUGAAAGUCCGCGGCCCAACCGCGGGACUGCAUUGGGAACUGGCGCGCUGGAGUGCCGGAGGGGUAGGCGGAAUGCCUAGUGUAGCGGUGAAAUGCGUAGAUAUUAGGAGGAACACCAGUGGCGAAGGCGGCCUACUGGACGGUGACUGACGCUGAGGCUCGAAAGCGUGGGGAGCAAACAGGAUUAGAUACCCGGGUAGUC